UACGUAGGGAGCAAGCGUUGUUCGGAUUUAUUGGGCGUAAAGGGUGCGUAGGCGGCGGAGUAAGUUGGGUGUGAAAUCCCGGGGCUCAACCUCGGAAUUGCAUUCAAUACUACUGAGCUAGAGUACGGUAGAGGGUAGUGGAAUUUCCUGUGUAGCGGUGAAAUGCGUAGAUACAGGAAGGAACACCAGUGGCGAAGGCGACUACCUGAACUGAUACUGACACUGAGGUGCGAAAGCGUGGGGAGCAAACAGG
This 253-nucleotide ribosomal RNA is filed under the name uncultured prokaryote. RNAcentral's name for it is "partial 16S ribosomal RNA". It matches the Rfam family "Bacterial small subunit ribosomal RNA", at positions 524 to 776 of the family's 1533-position model. The record is from RNAcentral.